CACUCGGAGGCGGCGUGUCAAACCAAAACAAGCAAAGCAGCAGCAGUGCUUCAUCACUCGCCAAUAAAAAAAAAUUACUGUAGAUCCCUUGCAAGACUCAAAGAUGGCCGGCCUCCAAGUGCUUCAAACGUCGAACCUGGCGUUGACACAGGGGAUAGGGCCAGGCCAGGCCAGGCUUCAUUGCGGAGUCAACCAAUCGACCUUGAGAUGACUGAAAUAAACAAAGUCCAAAAAGGAGCCAAUUCCUCUUCCUCAUCAGUGGACGUCUACGCUACAUGCAUGUACCGACCGGCGACGGGCGGCGGCGAGCUACUUUUCUCUGCUGCUGGCCUCGCUCUCGCCGCAGGGAAUCGAUCGACAGACGACAGCUAGCUAGCUAGCUCG
RNAcentral lists this unclassified non-coding RNA (384 nucleotides) under Zea mays. RNAcentral's name for it is "misc RNA Zm00001eb155740". The record is from RNAcentral. Lineage: Eukaryota; Viridiplantae; Streptophyta; Magnoliopsida; Poales; Poaceae.